Molecule: ribosomal RNA, 443 nt
Filed under: uncultured bacterium
Lineage: Bacteria
Description: partial 16S ribosomal RNA
Rfam family: Bacterial small subunit ribosomal RNA
Source: RNAcentral
CCUACGGGCGGCAGCAGUGGGGAAUAUUGGGCAAUGGAGGCAACUCUGAACCAGCAACGCCGCGUGAAUGAUGAAGGUCUUCGGAUUGUAAAGUUCUUUUUUAAGGGAAGAAGAAAGUGACGGUAGCUUAGGAAUAAGGCUCGGCAAACUACGUGCCAGCAGCAGCGGGAAUACGUAGGAGGCAAGCGUUCUCCGGAAUGACUGGGCGUAAAGGGUGCGUAGGUGGUUUGACAAGUGAGUGGCGCAACUUCGGGGCUCAACUACGGAACUACUACUAACACGGGUGGACUUGAGUGCAGGAGGGGCAAUCGGAAUGCCUGGUGUAGCGGUGGAAUGCGUAGAUAUUAGGAGGAACACCGGUGGCGAAGGCAGAUUGCUAGACCGUAACUGACACUGAGGCACGAAAGCGUGGGGAGCGAACAGGAUUAGAUACCCCAGUAGUC